AGAUUGAACGCUGGCGGCAUGCUUUACACAUGCAAGUCGAACGGCAGCACGGGAGCUUGCUCCUGGUGGCGAGUGGCGAACGGGUGAGUAAUGCAUCGGAACGUGCCGAGUAAUGGGGGAUAACGCAGCGAAAGUUGUGCUAAUACCGCAUACGCUCUGAGGAGGAAAGCGGGGGACCUUUCGGGGCCUCGCGUUAUUCGAGCGGCCGAUGCCUGAUUAGCUAGUUGGUGAGGUAAAGGCUCACCAAGGCGACGAUCAGUAGCGGGUCUGAGAGGAUGAUCCGCCACACUGGGACUGAGACACGGCCCAGACUCCUACGGGAGGCAGCAGUGGGGAAUUUUGGACAAUGGGGGCAACCCUGAUCCAGCCAUGCCGCGUGUCUGAAGAAGGCCUUCGGGUUGUAAAGGACUUUUGUCAGGGAGCAAAUACUGCCUGUGAAUAAUGGGUGGGAAUGAGAGUACCUGAAGAAUAAGCACCGGCUAACUACGUGCCAGCAGCCGCGGUAAUACGUAGGGUGCAAGCGUUAAUCGGAAUUACUGGGCGUAAAGCGUGCGCAGGCGGUUUUGCAAGUCUGAUGUGAAAGCCCCGGGCUUAACCUGGGAACGGCAUUGGAGACUGCAAGGCUAGAGUACGUCAGAGGGGGGUAGAAUUCCACGUGUGGCAGUGAAAUGCGUAGAGAUGUGGAGGAAUACCGAUGGCGAAGGCAGCCCCCUGGGAUGAUACUGACGCUCAUGCACGAAAAAGCGUGGGGAGCCAACAGGAUUAGAUACCCUGGUAGUCCACGCCCUAAACGAUGUCAAUUAGCUGUUGGGGGUUUGAAUCCUUGGUAGCGAAGCUAACGCGUGAAAUUGACCGCCUGGGGAGUACGGCCGCAAGGUUA
Molecule: ribosomal RNA, 880 nt
Filed under: uncultured bacterium
Lineage: Bacteria
Description: bacterial SSU rRNA
Rfam family: Bacterial small subunit ribosomal RNA
Source: RNAcentral